UCGGACGUGGUGCAUUAGGGUUCACGGUGCACGCCCGCUUCUACUUAAAGUUUACAUAUGUGGGGAAGCCUGGGUUCGAUCCCCAGCGUCCGAA
Mycena vulgaris is the source of this 94-nucleotide non-coding RNA. NCBI's taxonomy places the organism in Eukaryota, Fungi, Basidiomycota, Agaricomycetes, Agaricales, Mycenaceae. The record is from the annotation of a GenBank genome assembly.